RNAcentral lists this ribosomal RNA (1360 nucleotides) under Triticum aestivum (bread wheat). RNAcentral's name for it is "partial small subunit ribosomal RNA". Lineage: Eukaryota; Viridiplantae; Streptophyta; Magnoliopsida; Poales; Poaceae. The record is from RNAcentral.
CUUCAUUCUUCUCUGAUUCUCUCGUCUUCCCACGCACGGACGAACGGUCACAACUCACAACCCACACUCCCACAUGCCACAGCACUCCAAGCAGGCGGCCAUGGAGUUGUUCCUUCUCCCUUCCCGUGCCACCGUCUCCCGACGGCUCCAGCCAACCGCCCCACUCCGCCGCGCCAGCGCGGCCACCUUCCGGCCGUCGGCCAGCUCCGGCAACGUCGAGGCCACCACCGGCGCCACGGCGACGACGUCGGCAGCCAAGACCGGCCAAGAAUGGCGCGCGGGCGGCCGUCAGGGCCAGGCGCGGUUCGGGCUCGACCUGGACCUGUCCGAGGAGAUGAGGCGUGAUAUGAUGUGGCGGAUGCUAGCCUUCCCCGCGGCGGCGGUUGCGGCGGAGGCCGCUCUCCUGUGGGCGCUCAACAGCGGCGUCGACGCGCCCGCGUGGGCCGGCAAGGCGGGCUCGGCCGUGCUGUUCGCUGCGGGGCUGCUCGGGUCCCAGUACGGGUUCUUCUCCUCGAGGUGGGACGCCGCGGAGACGGGGUCGGUGGUGGGGUGGAAGCUCGCCGCCCGGCACUGGAACGCCCUAUCCAUGGCCAGGGGUUCGUCCAUGGAAGAGGAAGAUGAGGAGGACGACGAGGAGUGGGAGUGGGUGUACGAGGAAGACGAGGAAGAAACUGACGAUUAGUUGGGUAGAUACCGUCUGUGAUAGCAAGGUAAUUGGUUGGAUUAAACCUUGUACUAAAAUGCAUGUGACAGUGCCCGGUUUGGUUAAACCACAUGCAGUAAAUAGAAUGGUUACAUGUAGGCGUAGAACUACCACUUCGUUCUUUUCCUGUCAUUUCUGUAUCGACUCCUGUGAAUAUAGUCACCAUACUUUUCUUUUUCUUACAACGUUCACAAUUGACAUAUAUAGGGAAUAUUUGACAAUCUGUAAGAUGAACAGAUUCUAACCCUCUUCUUAAAAUUUAAAUUGCAGUCAUUUCUAAUAUCUUUCAGUUUCUGUUCUCUGCCCACAUGCUAAGGUAUUGUUUGUUUGGGCUUCAGUUUCGACAGAAUCAGUUAGGGAUUCGCUGUGUUGGCAAAGCCGGUUCGACAUAAUCCCCUUUGGCGUUGAAGUAAACUAGGACGUGCUUCAGCCCAAUAUCUGAAAAUAGCCCGAAUCAGAUUUUGGCUGGUUUUUCAAUGACUGAUUGUUUGUUUCAGAUUCAGCCUUCUCAAAGCUGUAUAUUGUUUCUAAAGCUGUAUACUCUGUAGGCUGUCUUUCAAAAAAACUACUCUGUAGGCUGUAGCAGUCUUGACCAACAUAAAUAGUACAUGGUAAUGUGGUGCAUCAUACUUUUUUGACGAGUCAUGUAUACGUACG